GGGUUGUGAGGUUAAGUGACUAAGCGUACACGGUGGAUGCCUAGGCAGUCAGAGGCGAUGAAGGGCGUGCUAAUCUGCGAAAAGCGUCGGUAAGGUGAUAUGAACCGUUAUAACCGGCGAUACCCGAAUGGGGAAACCCAGUGUGUUUCGACACACUAUCAUGUCAUGAAUACAUAGUGGCAUGAGGCGAACCGGGGGAACUGAAACAUCUAAGUACCCCGAGGAAAAGAAAUCAACCGAGAUUCCCCCAGUAGCGGCGAGCGAACGGGGAGGAGCCCAGAACCUGAAUCGGCUUGUGUGUUAGUGGAAGCGUCUGGAAAGUCGCGCAGCAAAGGGUGAUAGCCCCGUACACUAAAAUGCACAGGUCGUGAGUUCGAUGAGUAGGGCGGGACACGUGACAUCCUGUCUGAAUAUGGGGGGACCAUCCUCCAAGGCUAAAUACUCCUGACUGACCGAUAGUGAACCAGUACCGUGAGGGAAAGGCGAAAAGAACCCCGGCGAGGGGAGUGAAAUAGAACCUGAAACCGUGUACGUACAAGCAGUGGGAGCACCUUCGUGGUGUGACUGCGUACCUUUUGUAUAAUGGGUCAGCGACUUAUAUUUUGUAGCAAGGUUAACCGUAUAGGGGAGCCGUAGGGAAACCGAGUCUUAACUGGGCGACUAGUUGCAAGGUAUAGACCCGAAACCCGGUGAUCUAGCCAUGGGCAGGUUGAAGGUUGGGUAACACUAACUGGAGGACCGAACCGACUAAUGUUGAAAAAUUAGCGGAUGACUUGUGGCUGGGGGUGAAAGGCCAAUCAAACCGGGAGAUAGCUGGUUCUCCCCGAAAGCUAUUUAGGUAGCGCCUCGUGAACUCAUCUUCGGGGGUAGAGCACUGUUUCGGCUAGGGGGCCAUCCCGGCUUACCAAACCGAUGCAAACUCCGAAUACCGAAGAAUGUUAUCACGGGAGACACACGGCGGGUGCUAACGUCCGUCGUGAAGAGGGAAACAACCCAGACCGCCAGCUAAGGUCCCAAAGUCAUGGUUAAGUGGGAAACGAUGUGGGAAGGCAUAGACAGCCAGGAUGUUGGCUUAGAAGCAGCCAUCAUUUAAAGAAAGCGUAAUAGCUCACUGGUCGAGUCGGCCUGCGCGGAAGAUGUAACGGGGCUAAACCAUGCACCGAAGCUGCGGCAGCGACGCUUAGGCGUUGUUGGGUAGGGGAGCGUUCUGUAAGCCGUUGAAGGUGGCCUGUGAGGGUUGCUGGAGGUAUCAGAAGUGCGAAUGCUGACAUAAGUAACGAUAAAGCGGGUGAAAAGCCCGCUCGCCGGAAGACCAAGGGUUCCUGUCCAACGUUAAUCGGGGCAGGGUGAGUCGACCCCUAAGGCGAGGCUGAAAAGCGUAGUCGAUGGGAAACAGGUUAAUAUUCCUGUACUUGGUGUUACUGCGAAGGGGGGACGGAGAAGGCUAGGCUAGCCGGGCGACGGUUGUCCCGGUUUAAGCGUGUAGGGGGUGUGACCUGGUAAAUCCGGUUGCAUACUACCCUGAGGCGUGAUGACGAUGCACUACGGUGCAGAAGUAGUUGAUGCCCUGCUUCCAGGAAAAUCCUCUAAGCUCCAGGUAACAUUAAAUCGUACCCCAAACCGACACAGGUGGUCAGGUAGAGAAUACCAAGGCGCUUGAGAGAACUCGGGUGAAGGAACUAGGCAAAAUGGUGCCGUAACUUCGGGAGAAGGCACGCUGGCAUGUAGGUGAAGUCCCUCGCGGAUGGAGCUGAAGCCAGUCGAAGAUACCAGCUGGCUGCAACUGUUUAAUAAAAACACAGCACUGUGCAAACACGAAAGUGGACGUAUACGGUGUGACGCCUGCCCGGUGCUGGAAGGUUAAUUGAUGGGGUCAGCCGCAAGGCGAAGCUCUUGAUCGAAGCCCCAGUAAACGGCGGCCGUAACUAUAACGGUCCUAAGGUAGCGAAAUUCCUUGUCGGGUAAGUUCCGACCUGCACGAAUGGCGUAAUGAUGGCCAGGCUGUCUCCACCCGAGACUCAGUGAAAUUGAACUCGCUGUGAAGAUGCAGUGUACCCGCGGCAAGACGGAAAGACCCCGUGAACCUUUACUAUAGCUUGACACUGAACAUUGAGCCUUGAUGUGUAGGAUAGGUGGGAGGCUUUGAAGCGUGGACGCCAGUCUGCGUGGAGCCAUCCUUGAAAUACCACCCUUUAAUGUUUGAUGUUCUAACUCGGCCCCGUAAUCCGGGGUGAGGACAGUGUCUGGUGGGUAGUUUGACUGGGGCGGUCUCCUCCCAAAGAGUAACGGAGGAGCACGAAGGUUAGCUAAUCACGGUCGGACAUCGUGAGGUUAGUGCAAAGGCAUAAGCUAGCUUGACUGCGAGAGUGACGGCUCGAGCAGGUACGAAAGUAGGUCUUAGUGAUCCGGUGGUUCUGAAUGGAAGGGCCAUCGCUCAACGGAUAAAAGGUACUCCGGGGAUAACAGGCUGAUACCGCCCAAGAGUUCAUAUCGACGGCGGUGUUUGGCACCUCGAUGUCGGCUCAUCACAUCCUGGGGCUGAAGUAGGUCCCAAGGGUAUGGCUGUUCGCCAUUUAAAGUGGUACGCGAGCUGGGUUUAGAACGUCGUGAGACAGUUCGGUCCCUAUCUGCCGUGGGCGUUGGAAGAUUGAGAGGGGUUGCUCCUAGUACGAGAGGACCGGAGUGAACGCACCACUGGUGUUCGGGUUGUCAUGCCAAUGGCAUUGCCCGGUAGCUAAGUGCGGAAAAGAUAAGCGCUGAAAGCAUCUAAGCGCGAAACUUGCCUCAAGAUGAGUCUUCCCUGGGCCUUCAAGGCCCCUGAAGGAACGUUUAAGACUAAGACGUUGAUAGGCUGGGUGUGUAAGUGCAGCGAUGCAUUGAGCUAACCAGUACUAAUGAUCCGUGAGGCUUAACCUUACAACACCGAAGGUGUUU
This 2934-nucleotide ribosomal RNA is filed under the name Serratia marcescens. Its description in RNAcentral is "23S ribosomal RNA". It matches the Rfam family "Bacterial large subunit ribosomal RNA". Lineage: Bacteria; Pseudomonadati; Pseudomonadota; Gammaproteobacteria; Enterobacterales; Yersiniaceae. The record is from RNAcentral.